This 282-nucleotide ribosomal RNA is filed under the name Staphylococcus delphini. Its description in RNAcentral is "partial 16S ribosomal RNA". It matches the Rfam family "Bacterial small subunit ribosomal RNA", at positions 1 to 272 of the family's 1533-position model. The record is from RNAcentral. Lineage: Bacteria; Bacillati; Bacillota; Bacilli; Caryophanales; Staphylococcaceae.
UUUAUGGAGAGUUUGAUCCUGGCUCAGGAUGAACGCUGGCGGCGUGCCUAAUACAUGCGAGUCGAGCGAACAGAUGAGGAGCUUGCUCCUUUGACGUUAGCGGCGGACGGGUGAGUAACACGUGGGUAACCUACCUAUAAGACUGGAAUAACUCCGGGAAACCGGGGCUAAUGCCGGAUAACAUGUUGAACCGCAUGGUUCUACAGUGAAAGACGGUCUUGCUGUCACUUAUAGAUGGACCCGCGCCGUAUUAGCUAGUUGGUGGGGUAACGGCCUACCAAG